GACGAACGCUGGCGGCGUGCUUAACACAUGCAGUCGUACGGUAAGGCCCUUUCGGGGGUACACGAGUGGCGAACGGGUGAGUAACACGUGAGUAACCUGCCCACAACUUUGGGAUAACGCUAGGAAACUGGUGCUAAUACUGGAUAUGUGCUCCUGCUGCAUGGUGGGGGUUGGAAAGCUCCGGCGGUUGUGGAUGGACUCGCGGCCUAUCAGCUUGUUGGUGGGGUAGUGGCCUACCAAGGCGGCGACGGGUAGCCGGCCUGAGAGGGUGACCGGCCACAUUGGGACUGAGAUACGGCCCAGACUCCUACGGGGGGCAGCAGUGGGGAAUAUUGCACAAUGGGCGCAAGCCUGAUGCAGCAACGCCGCGUGCGGGAUGACGGCCUUCGGGUUGUAAGCCGCUUUCAGCAGGGACGAAGCUUUUUGUGACGGUACCUGCAGAAGAAGCACCGGCUAACUACGUG
This 464-nucleotide ribosomal RNA is filed under the name uncultured bacterium. Its description in RNAcentral is "partial 16S ribosomal RNA". It matches the Rfam family "Bacterial small subunit ribosomal RNA", at positions 28 to 507 of the family's 1533-position model. The record is from RNAcentral.